CUGGUGGCGUGUCUUAUACAUGCAAGUCGAGCGAGGCAGCAAUGCCGAGCGGCGAACGGGUGAGUAACGCGUAAGCAAUCUGCCCCAUAUCAGGGAAAUACCCGUGCCAACGCGCGGUUAAUGUCCAGGAGAGUGGCCCUCUGCAUGGAGGGUUGACUAGAGAUUUAUCGGUAUGGGAUGAGCUUGCGUCCGAUUAGCUAGUUGGCGGGGCAACGGCCCACCAAGGCGACGAUCGGUAGCCGGCCUGAGAGGGUGAUCGGCCACAUUGGGACUGAGAUACGGCCCAGACUCCUACGGGAGGCAGCAGUAGGGAAUAUUGCACAAUGGGGGAAACCCUGAUGCAGCAACGCCACGUGUGGGAAAGAAGCAUUUCGGUGUGUAAACCACUGUCAUGAGGGAAUAAGGCCCAGUUUAGGCUGGGAUUGAAUGUACCUUGAGAGGAAGCACCGGCAAACUUCGUGCCAGCCGCUGC
This 472-nucleotide ribosomal RNA is filed under the name uncultured bacterium. RNAcentral's name for it is "bacterial SSU rRNA". It matches the Rfam family "Bacterial small subunit ribosomal RNA", at positions 36 to 518 of the family's 1533-position model. The record is from RNAcentral.